RNAcentral lists this ribosomal RNA (220 nucleotides) under uncultured bacterium. Its description in RNAcentral is "partial 16S ribosomal RNA". It matches the Rfam family "Bacterial small subunit ribosomal RNA", at positions 57 to 305 of the family's 1533-position model. The record is from RNAcentral.
GCAAGUCGAACGCUCCCUUCGGGGGGAGUGGCGGACGGGUGAGUAUCGCGUGGGAACCUAGCCUUUGGUACGGAACAACCGCGGGAAACUGCGGCUAAUACCGUAUAUUCCCUCCGGGGGAAAGAUUCAUCGCCAAGGGAUGGGCCCGCGUCUGAUUAGCUAGUUGGUGAGGUAAUGGCUCACCAAGGCAUCGAUCAGUAGCUGGUCUGAGAGGAUGAUC